GAUGAACGCUGGCGGCGUGCCUAAUACAUGCAAGUCGAGCGAACAGACGAGAGGCUUGCUCCUCUGACGUUAGCGGCGGACGGGUGAGUAACACGUGGAUAACCUACCUAUAAGACUGGGAUAACUUCGGGAAACCGGAGCUAAUACCGGAUAAUAUAUUGAACCGCAUGGUUCAAUAGUAAAAGACGGGUUUGCUGUCACUUAUAGAUGGAUCCGCGCCGCAUUAGCUGGUUGGUAAGGUAACGGCUUACCAAGGCGACGAUGCGUAGCCGACCUGAGAGGGUGAUCGGACACACUGGAACUGAGACACGGUCCAGACUCCUACGGGAGGCAGCAGUAGGGAAUCUUCCGCAAUUGGCGAAAGCCUGACGGAGCAACGCCGCGUGAGUGAUGAAGGUCUUCGGAUCGUAAAACUCUGUUAUUAGGGAAGAACAAAUGUGUAAGUAACUAUGCACGUCUUGACGGUGCCUAAUCAGAAAGCCACGGCUAACUACGUG
This 497-nucleotide ribosomal RNA is filed under the name uncultured bacterium. RNAcentral describes it as "partial 16S ribosomal RNA". It matches the Rfam family "Bacterial small subunit ribosomal RNA", at positions 28 to 507 of the family's 1533-position model. The record is from RNAcentral.